UACGGGAGGCAGCAGUGGGGAAUAUUGGACAAUGGGCGAAACCCUGAUGCAGCCAUGCCGCGUGUGUGAAGAAGGCCUUCGGGUUGUAAAGCACUUCCAGCGAGGAGGAAAGGAGUAUGUUUAAUAAACGUGCUCUGUGACGUUACUCGCAGAAGAAGCACCGGCUAACUACGUGCCAGCAGCCGCGGUAAU
RNAcentral lists this ribosomal RNA (192 nucleotides) under uncultured bacterium. Its description in RNAcentral is "partial 16S ribosomal RNA". It matches the Rfam family "Bacterial small subunit ribosomal RNA", at positions 340 to 524 of the family's 1533-position model. The record is from RNAcentral.